This 149-nucleotide ribosomal RNA is filed under the name Roseitalea sp. Its description in RNAcentral is "partial 16S ribosomal RNA". It matches the Rfam family "Bacterial small subunit ribosomal RNA", at positions 1 to 161 of the family's 1533-position model. Lineage: Bacteria; Pseudomonadati; Pseudomonadota; Alphaproteobacteria; Hyphomicrobiales; Ahrensiaceae. The record is from RNAcentral.
CAACUUGAGAGUUUGAUCCUGGCUCAGAACGAACGCUGGCGGCAGGCCUAACACAUGCAAGUCGAGCGAGACCUUCGGGUCUAGCGGCGGACGGGUUAGUAACGCGUGGGAACGUGCCCUUCACUACGGAAUAGUCCCGGGAAACUGGG